AAGUUGUUGCAGUUAAAAAGCUCGUAGUUGGAUUUCUGGCUUGAGAACGCUGGCCCGCCGGGGUUACCCGUGUGAGUGCCGGCCGUUCUCUGCCAUCCUUCUAGAAAACGCGUCUCGACUUCACUGUCGUGGGCGCGCCAUCUAGAUCAUUUACUUUGAGAAAAUUAGAGUGUUUAAAGCAGGCUUGCGCUAUGAAUACAUUAGCAUGGAAUAAUAAUAUAGGGCUUCGGUUCUAUUUUGUUGGUUUCUAGGACUGAAGUAAUGAUUGAUAGGGAUAGUUGGGGGUGCUAGUAUUCAGCGGCCAGAGGUGAAAUUCUUGGAUUCGCUGAAGACUAACUUAUGCGAAAGCAUUCACCAAGGAUGUCUUCUUUAAUCAAGAACGAAAGUUGGGGGAUCGAAGACGAUCAGAUACCGUCGUAGUCUCAACCAUAAACUAUGCCGACUAGGGAUUGGUGAACGUUGCAUUUUCGACUUCAUCAGCACCUUAUGAGAAAUCAAAGUUUUUGGGUUCCGGGGGGAGUAUGGUCGCAAGGCUGAAACUUAAAGGAAUUGACGGAAGGGCACCACCAGGAAUGGAGCCUGCGGCUUAAUUUGACUCAACACGGGGAAACUUACCAGGUCCAGACAUAGUGAGGAUUGACAGAUUGAAGAUCUUUCUUGAUUCUAUGGGUGGUGGUGCAUGGCCGUUCUUAGUUGGUGGAGUGAUUUGUCUGGUUAAUUCCGUUAACGAACGAGACCUCGACCUGCUAAAUAGUGUGGCGAUUCCCCCGGGAAUCGUGCAAACUUCUUAGAGGGACUAUCGGUGUGUAGCCGGUGGAAGUUCGAGGCAAUAACAGGUCUGUGAUGCCCUUCGAUGUUCUGGGCCGCACGCGCGCUACACUGACACGUUCAGCGAGUUUACAACCUUGGCCGAGAGGUCCGGGUAAUCUUUGAAAACGUGUCGUGCUGGGGAUAGAUCAUUGCAAUUAUUGAUCUUCAACGAGGAAUUCCUAGUAAACGCGAGUCAUCAGCUCGCAUUGAUUACGUCCCUGCCCUUUGUACACACCGCCCGUCGCUACUACCGAUUGGAUGGCUUAGUGAGUACCACGGAUCGUCGCGCUUCGUAGGGUUUCCUGCAUUGCGUGCUGAAAAGUGGUUCAAACUUGAUCAUCUAGAGGAAGUAAAAGUCGUAACAA
This 1175-nucleotide ribosomal RNA is filed under the name uncultured marine eukaryote. Its description in RNAcentral is "SSU rRNA". It matches the Rfam family "Eukaryotic small subunit ribosomal RNA", at positions 607 to 1797 of the family's 1831-position model. The record is from RNAcentral.